This 64-nucleotide transfer RNA is filed under the name Bolitaena pygmaea. RNAcentral's name for it is "tRNA-Ser". Lineage: Eukaryota; Metazoa; Mollusca; Cephalopoda; Octopoda; Bolitaenidae. The record is from RNAcentral.
AGGUUAUAUUGGAUGAAAAAGGUUUUGAAAACCUUAUGUGAGUGUUCGAUUCACUCGUAAUCUU